GACGAACGCUGGCGGCGUGCCUAAUACAUGCAAGUAGAACGCUGAAGCGAGGAGCUUGCUCUUCUUGGAUGAGUUGCGAACGGGUGAGUAACGCGUAGGUAACCUGCCUUGUAGCGGGGGAUAACUAUUGGAAACGAUAGCUAAUACCGCAUAACAAUGGAUGACACAUGUCAUUUAUUUGAAAGGGGCAAUUGCUCCACUACAAGAUGGACCUGCGUUGUAUUAGCUAGUAGGUGAGGUAACGGCUCACCUAGGCGACGAUACAUAGCCGACCUGAGAGGGUGAUCGGCCACACUGGGACUGAGACACGGCCCAGACUCCUACGGGAGGCAGCAGUAGGGAAUCUUCGGCAAUGGGGGCAACCCUGACCGAGCAACGCCGCGUGAGUGAAGAAGGUUGUCGGAUCGUAAAGCUCUGUUGUAAGUCAAGAACGAGUGUGAGAGUGGAAAGUUCACACUGUGACGGUAGCUUACCAGAAAGGGACGGCUAACUACGUG
RNAcentral lists this ribosomal RNA (497 nucleotides) under uncultured bacterium. RNAcentral's name for it is "partial 16S ribosomal RNA". It matches the Rfam family "Bacterial small subunit ribosomal RNA", at positions 28 to 507 of the family's 1533-position model. The record is from RNAcentral.